GGUGAGGUAGCUCAACUUGGUAGAGCACUGGACUGAAAAUCCGGGUGUUGAGGGUUCAAAUCCCUCCCUUACCA
This 74-nucleotide transfer RNA is filed under the name Thermoplasmata archaeon. Its description in RNAcentral is "tRNA-Phe". It matches the Rfam family "tRNA". From Rfam's summary of the family: Transfer RNA (tRNA) molecules are approximately 80 nucleotides in length. Their secondary structure includes four short double-helical elements and three loops (D, anti-codon, and T loops). The record is from RNAcentral. Lineage: Archaea; Methanobacteriati; Thermoplasmatota; Thermoplasmata. RNAcentral also lists the same sequence under 1 other name.